Molecule: long non-coding RNA, 1110 nt
Filed under: Oryctolagus cuniculus (rabbit)
Lineage: Eukaryota; Metazoa; Chordata; Mammalia; Lagomorpha; Leporidae
Description: lncRNA (ENSOCUG00000035636.1)
Source: RNAcentral
AUGAGCUGCACCCUAGAGACCAUGAACCUGGACAUUCCUGAGGGGCUGGGCCCCCAGAGGCACUUGCCCCGGGCCCGUGGGAGACGGAAAGUCCCCCGGAGCACAAGGGGCAGGCUGGGGGCAGAGGUGUGUGCAGCUCAGCCCUCACCUCCCCCCGGCCCGCUCCACACCUCCACAGGGAGGCAGCAGCUGGGGCAGCCCCACCCCACCCCUGCCCCGUGGUCUUGCACAGCAGGGAGCUGCCCGAACAAGGGUGACACAGGAGACCCGCACGAGCACUGGGCCGGCAGUGACAGCUCAGACGUCAGCGUGGACGGCUGGCCAUCGAGGACCCCGGCCUCCCCCAUGGCACGGUGCAGCCCCCUUGAAAUUCUAGGGGAAGGCAGGGACUCCAAACUGGAACUCAGCUUCCUCAGCCCCACAGCCGAGCCUGUAUGUGACGCACGCCCCACACCCCCACCUGGAACCCACAGCCUGCAGGGGGAGCGUCUGUCUGAACUCGGACCCACCAGGAGCUCACAGCAGACGUGGGACCCGCUCUUAUCACCCAGGCACACUCGCUGGGUCGUCAGGGGCCCCUGCUUCCCGGUGCCUUCUCCUCCAAGCCUUCCUUCCACUCGGUCUCUGCCUACCGCUGGGCUGACACCCCCUUAUCGACACUGCUUGGAGCAAGGCCAGGUGCACAGACACCUGGGGAACCACGUGUGCAGAGUCAGGGCCCCUGCUGCGGAGAGCUUGGCCUUGAAGCCCUUUGCAGGAAACGGGGGCUCUCCUGCAGCCAAGUCCACGGACGGGUCCCCGGGGACGCACGUGCUGCCCGGGUCAGUGUGUGGGCGAGUCCUCACGCUGGGGUGUUUUCCUAGAGGGUCGCGGCCCCCAUGCACACGGGCGAGAUGGAGGCUUCUGUCUGGGGACCCCUGUGUGGCAAGCGGCCCUGUGUGCGCAGUGUGGUCUCACCCCCGGUGGAGUUGGGCAGGGCAGCGCUGGGAGCCGGCCUUGCCAGAACUCCUGCCUGUCGCAGCCUCAGCCACUCUGCUGCUGCUCCGUGCCCAGUGGGCGAGGGCAGGACCAGCCGUUCUGAGCGUGCCCUUGCUUGGUUUUCUUUGGUAA